Molecule: unclassified non-coding RNA, 345 nt
Filed under: soil metagenome
Description: partial contains 5.8S ribosomal RNA, internal transcribed spacer 2, and large subunit ribosomal RNA
Rfam family: 5.8S ribosomal RNA (bases 1-120)
Source: RNAcentral
GAUGAAGAACGUAGCGAAAUGCGAUAAGUAGUGUGAAUUGCAGAAUUCAGUGAAUCAUCGAGUCUUUGAACGCACAUUGCGCCCCCUGGUAUUCCGGGGGGCAUGCCUGUCCGAGCGUCAUUGCUGCCCUCAAGCACGGCUUGUGUGUUGGGCCUCCGUCCUCCUCCCGGGGGACGGGCCCGAAAGGCAGCGGCGGCACCGCAUCCGGUCCUCGAGCGUAUGGGGCUUCGUCACCCGCUCUUGUAGGCCCGGCCGGCGCUUGCCGACACAUCAAUCUUUUUUCCAGGUUGACCUCGGAUCAGGUAGGGAUACCCGCUGAACUUAAGCAUAUCAAUAAGCGGAGGA